CGGAACGUAGCUCAGUUGGCCAGAGCCUUAGGGUCGCAGGUUCGAGUCCUGCCGUUCCGA
This 60-nucleotide transfer RNA is filed under the name Clostridium sp. RNAcentral describes it as "tRNA-OTHER". It matches the Rfam family "tRNA". Rfam says of the family: Transfer RNA (tRNA) molecules are approximately 80 nucleotides in length. Their secondary structure includes four short double-helical elements and three loops (D, anti-codon, and T loops). Further hydrogen bonds mediate the characteristic L-shaped molecular structure. tRNAs have two regions of fundamental functional importance: the anti-codon, which is responsible for specific mRNA codon recognition, and the 3' end, to which the tRNAs corresponding amino acid is attached (by aminoacyl-tRNA synthetases). tRNAs cope with the degeneracy of the genetic code in two manners: having more than one tRNA (with a specific anti-codon) for a particular amino acid; and 'wobble' base-pairing, i.e. permitting non-standard base-pairing at the 3rd anti-codon position. Lineage: Bacteria; Bacillati; Bacillota; Clostridia; Eubacteriales; Clostridiaceae. The record is from RNAcentral.